CCUACGGGUGGCAGCAGUAGGGAAUCUUCCACAAUGGACGAAAGUCUGAUGGAGCAACGCCGCGUGAGUGAAGAAGGGUUUCUGCUCGUAAAGCUCUGUUGGUAGUGAAGAAAGAUAGAGGAAGUAACUGGCCUUUAUUUGACGGUAAUUACAUAGAAAGUCCCGGCUAACUACGUGCCAGCAGCCGCGGUCAUACGUAGGUGGCAAGCGUUUUCCGGAUUUAUUGGGCGUAAAGCGUGUGCAGGCGGUCCAAUAAGUCUGAUGUGAAAGGCUUCGGCCCAACCGGAGAAUUGCAUCAGAAACUGUUGAACUUGAGUGCAGAAGAGGAGAGUGGAACUCCAUGUGUAGCGGUGGAAUGCGUAGAUAUAUGGAAGAACACCAGUGGCGAAGGCGGCUCUCUGGGCUGCAACUGACGCUGAAGCUCGAAAGCAUGGGUAGCGAACAGGAUUAGAUACCCGUGUAGUC
Molecule: ribosomal RNA, 465 nt
Filed under: uncultured bacterium
Lineage: Bacteria
Description: partial 16S ribosomal RNA
Rfam family: Bacterial small subunit ribosomal RNA
Source: RNAcentral